GCGGAAUGAGUCUCUUGUCACAUUAUCCUCAACCUUCUCCCGUCUCCUGCAUACCCUUCCACACUCAUCCCAGCCACAAACCUGAAGGCUGGUAGUGGGAAAGGGAGUCUAGAGGAGUAACACUGUAACCCACGGACAGGGGGUACUGAGCCAAAGGGCUGAGGGUUCAGACCUACGACCUUCCUCACCACCUAAGACACGAGACACGACUGGGGACCGCUGGAGAGAUGUGAGGCCAAAUCUGUUCAAGGUUUAUUUAGUUUUCUUCUCUGCCAAGGGAGGGAGGGGGUCCCGUUAAGGGAGGCGCCGGCCAGGCAGUUCCACUCGGUUGUCAAAAGACAAACCCAGUCUGUAUUCUUCCAGUUGGUUUGUGGGUUUUGCCAAUUCCUAAGCUGGCGAGUCCGUGGUGAAGGAGUUGAACUGAAUUUUCUGGAAACUGUUGGUGUCUGCAAGUGAGUGUUGGUCCCCUCCCCCAUUCUCGACCGUUUCAAGCGAAAUCGCGCAAAAAAAAAAAAAAAAGCUUUGGUAGAACAUCAUGAGUGAGGAGAAAUCGU
Molecule: long non-coding RNA, 554 nt
Filed under: Mus musculus (house mouse)
Lineage: Eukaryota; Metazoa; Chordata; Mammalia; Rodentia; Muridae
Description: long non-coding RNA chr11:96294853-96295407
Source: RNAcentral